GAAGAAGCAGACUGAGGUCUGAGUCGAAGCUGGUACAACCUGAAUUUCAGCAUUUGGGAAGGGCUUUUGUGAAUCCAGCUUUCAUUUAUAUGGACCUGAACGUUUCAAGUACCGUGAUCUUGAACGCAAUGACAAAUAUCCUCCCAGCCCUGACAUUUGUGUUCGCCCUGAUCUUCAGUGAAAUAAUUUUGGAUGGGGCAGAAUCACUCGAUAUCAAGACAAAGAUGGGGCAAACCAAAGUGAUCGGAACAUUGCUGUGUGUGGGCGGAGCGAUGCUGCUCUCCUUUUUUCAUGGGCACACCAUUGCUGGUAGUAGCACUCACAUUCACUAGAGAUAUGGAAAGAACGUGACGCCCACCCACCAAAGCCACUCCAUCUUGGGCCUUGCCUUCUCCUUUGUGGCGUUUCUGGCUCAGCAUUUUGGUUCAUUAUACAAGCGAAGUUGAGCCCUAUAUUUAAAGCUUCUUACACUGCCACGAUGCCAAUGUCUCUCAUGGCCAACAUCAAGUGUGCGAUCAUUGGUGCUGCUUUAGAACACGAUCUUGCAGCAUGGUCACUGAGAUCCAAGAUUUGGCUCAUUACAGUUGUCUAUGCGGUAUGUAUACUAGAAAAUUAAAUAAACUUUACAUAUAGUGGAGUUGCCUUAUUGUGGCUUUUCAAGCAUCAAUAGCGUGGGAAAUGUUUUGUACGAAGGUAAUGCUGAUGGUUAUUCAAUUUCAGGGUGUUGUGUGUUUUAUGCUAGCGUUCAGCAUUAUGACUUGAUGUGUAAAUAAAAAGGCGCACUCUACACCUCUGUCUUCAGUCCUUGUUUCAUGGCGCUUUCAUUGACAGUUCUUCGUUUCCUUUGGAAUUCCAGAUUGAUGGUGGCCGUGUUGAUCAUUGCCAGGCUCUACUCUGUUAUGUGGGCGAAGGGCAGAAGAGAGGAAGAGCAGGCAAGAAUUACUGUGCAAGCAAGAAUCACCGAGGAGAUGGAAGGUGGCCAACCCUAACUCUUCAAAAUCAUGGGCUCUACUAACCUAUUCACUAGUUUAUCUUGCUUUUUUUCUUUUUCAAAGGACAGUAGGAAUCAGCUUCCUUUUCAUUCGAGUGACCCUCGUGAUAGAUUGAUAUCUUAAUUAUACUUAUCAAAAAUGCGAAUUCGAAGUGCCUUCAUGGGAUUGCGAGUAAUUGCUCGCUUAUUAGUUAAUAUAUGUAUGACCCUUCUCUAAGAGAGGCAAAGAGAGAAGUGUGCUUAUUAGUUAUUCAUGGCUACCACAUCUUAAUU
Molecule: long non-coding RNA, 1264 nt
Organism: Eucalyptus grandis
Lineage: Eukaryota; Viridiplantae; Streptophyta; Magnoliopsida; Myrtales; Myrtaceae
Exons: 4
Source: RefSeq, a predicted model, not a curated record